RNAcentral lists this ribosomal RNA (494 nucleotides) under uncultured bacterium. Its description in RNAcentral is "bacterial SSU rRNA". It matches the Rfam family "Bacterial small subunit ribosomal RNA", at positions 30 to 531 of the family's 1533-position model. The record is from RNAcentral.
AUUGAACGCUGGCGGUAUGCUUAAGACAUGCAAGUCGAACGGUAACAGGUUAAGCUGACGAGUGGCGGACGAGUGAGUAACGCGUGGGAAUCUACCUUGUAGUGGGGGAUAAGCCAGGGAAACUUGGACUAAUACCGCAUACGCCCUAAGGGGGAAAGGAGCAAUUCGCUAUAAGAUGAGCCCGCGUCUGAUUAGGUAGUUGGUGGGGUAAAGGCCUACCAAGCCGACGAUCAGUAGCUGGUCUGAGAGGAUGAUCAGCCACGUCGGGACUGAGACACGGCCCGGACUCCUACGGGAGGCAGCAGUCGGGAAUAUUGGACAAUGGGGAAACCCUGAUCCAGCAAUACCGCGUGUGUGAAGAAGGCCUGCGGGUUGUAAAGCACUUUCGGCCGGGAAGAAAUCGUAAUGGGUUAAUACCCUGUGCGGAUGACGGUACCGGCAUAAGAAGCACCGGCUAACUAACGUGCCAGCAAGCCGCGGUAAAAGUACUCUAU